This 464-nucleotide ribosomal RNA is filed under the name uncultured bacterium. RNAcentral's name for it is "partial 16S ribosomal RNA". It matches the Rfam family "Bacterial small subunit ribosomal RNA", at positions 339 to 795 of the family's 1533-position model. The record is from RNAcentral.
CUACGGGGGGCAGCAGUGGGGAAUAUUGGACAAUGGGGGAAACCCUGAUCCAGCAAUGCCGCGUGUGUGAAGAAGGCCCGCGGGUUGUAAAGCACUUUCGGUUGGGAGGACUGCUUCUAGCACUAAUAUUGUUGGAAGUUGACGUUACCUUCAGAAGAAGCACCGGCUAACUCCGUGCCAGCAGCCGCGGUAAUACGGAGGGUGCAGGCGUUAAUCGAAUUACUGGGCGUAAAGCGCGCGUAGGCGGCUAGAUCAGUCGGGUGUGAAAGCCCCGGGCUUAACCUGGGAACUGCAUCCGAUACUGUCUAGCUUGAGUACAGGAGAGGAGAGUGGAAUUCCACAUGUAGCGGUGAAAUGCGUAGAUAUGUGGAGGAACACCAAUGGCGAAGGCAGCUCUCUGGCCUGAUACUGACGCUGAGGUGCGAAAGCGUGGGGAGCAAACAGGAUUAGAUACCCCAGUAGUC